UAACAUUGGGUAUGAAUUCCAUCGAAUUUCCCUUAGUUUACUUUGAUCAAGGCUUGAAGUAAGGAGUUUGUAUUGUACCACUUUAUUUGGACUUUGGUUCUGUUUGAACAUAUCCUUUAAGUAAAGAAUUUUGUAAAAGUCUGUUUAAAAGAGAAGUUUCCUUAAAAUUUCCAAAUAUAUAUUUUAAUAGGCUAUUUUUUUCCCGGAUCCAAACCAAAUUAAAUAAAAAUAAAAAUUACAAGUCCAUUUUUUUUAAAAAAAACCCUAAGCCCAAAUUACAAGCCCAUAACCUAAACUAAGUUUCUGUAAAAUAAAAAAAAUCCUAGCCUCCAGCGUCGCUGCCCUCCACGUGAACGGGCACGACGCUUGAGGUCUAACGGGCUUUUGCUGUCAUUUCACCAAAAUGGCAAGGGCACGCUUUCUGCCACCGUCACUAACUACUACCUGCAAAGAAAAAAUGGAAAAGAUAGGAACAAUAGAAGCAGAUGCAGGAAUAGUGACAAAAUAAAAAAUAUAUGUAUUUUAAACAAGUGUAAAAUGACUAUAAAAGUCAGGGAAUAGAUUGUAUUAAAAAAAAGGGAUCGAAAUCGAACACAAACACACAAAAAAAGGUGGUUCUUUUUGUUUUUUUUAUUUUAUUUUCAAAAAUAAGUAAUAAAAUAAAAAGGAAACUUUUUACCUUCAUUGUCGCUGCUGUUGUCUCCAUUCGUCUCCCUUCGUUUUGAAAGACCGUCGGAUCCUCGGGGAUUCGCUGAAAGGUCGCAUUGGAGAGACCGAGAACCGAAAGGUUCCUUUGCUUUUUUGGUAUUUUGGUGUUUUUUUUGGGGGGGGGGGAUUUUGGCAUUUGAUUUGGGUUGAAGAAGGUAAAAUGGCCACAAGGGGCACUUUUUUUUAUGAAAUCUGACCACAGGAGACGGCGGUAGCCAUCGCCGAUGACCGGUGGCCGCGGCGGAUGGACGGCGAUCCCCUAGGCCGGAUCCAACCCCUUUUCAGAGAAAACAAGAGAAAAAUAAAGUUUUUUUUAUCCUGUCUCAAA
Molecule: long non-coding RNA, 1036 nt
Filed under: Gossypium barbadense (sea-island cotton)
Lineage: Eukaryota; Viridiplantae; Streptophyta; Magnoliopsida; Malvales; Malvaceae
Description: long non-coding RNA (GBAR_LNC012817)
Source: RNAcentral